GGUUACAGUCAUGUUGAAACACCUGUUCUUGUAUGAUCACUGAAGUUAAGCAACAUAAAGCACGGUCAGUACUUAGAUGGGUGACCGCUUGAAAAUACCAAGUGUUGUA
This is a non-coding RNA of Acanthosepion pharaonis, 109 nucleotides long. The record is from the annotation of a GenBank genome assembly. NCBI's taxonomy places the organism in Eukaryota, Metazoa, Mollusca, Cephalopoda, Sepiida, Sepiidae.